This 221-nucleotide long non-coding RNA is filed under the name Linum usitatissimum (flax). RNAcentral's name for it is "long non-coding RNA (LUSI_LNC006126)". Lineage: Eukaryota; Viridiplantae; Streptophyta; Magnoliopsida; Malpighiales; Linaceae. The record is from RNAcentral.
AGAAGUUGGAGAUUUCCACAAGUAAAGGAAGACUAGAAAUGGGGAAUCUGAAUGGACACUACUAGUCCAGUCUCAACUUGAAUGGAUUGACAUGAUAGGUACACGAAUGACCAAACAAACUUAUUCAUAAACGAUCACUUCUAAUUUCUACCUUCUUUUCUCCUUAAUUAACACUAGAUUAUCUCCUAAAUUAGUCACACAAUUAUAUUAUUCCACCCCAC